This is a long non-coding RNA of Drosophila eugracilis, 2791 nucleotides long. RefSeq lists it as uncharacterized. Lineage: Eukaryota; Metazoa; Arthropoda; Insecta; Diptera; Drosophilidae. The transcript has 4 exons. The record is from RefSeq and is a predicted model, not a curated record.
UUGUGCGUAUGUAUAAGCAGAAAUAAAACAAUUAUUACUAUAUCAAAUGAAAAGAUUAAGAAACUCCAAGAUUUCAUAUUCUAAGUUAACAUACUAAGGAAUACAAAAAUUUAGCUUAUUCAAUUUGAAUUGGUACAGUGCAUAACAUUAAUAUUCUGUUAUUUAUUUUUUCAACUUCAAACGCAAAGAAUAUGGUUAAAACUAACUAAAAACAAAUUAAAAAUUGUAAGAAGCUUACCAUUACCUUUUCCUCACUUUUUUAAUAUAAUUUGUAUAUAUUGGGACUUAAUUUAGAAUUAAAAAAAGAAUCAAAACUAAGUGCAAAUUUUGCUCAUGCAAAACAGUUUAAGACACCCGAAACACUGAAAACAGUUGAAGACACCCGAAACUCUCAUCCCGAAACAUGAGUGUUUCAAACACAUUCUUGUUUGCUUUUAUGUGUUUCGGGUGUCUGUGCAAUAGAAUUGUCAUCAAGCCAUCUACCUGCUACUCGCAAGACGAUUAGCGAAAUAAAGAUCCGAUAAAAAAAUCUUUGGUAAAUCGAUAGAUAUUGACAAAAAUACGUUAUACGAAGCUACCUGAAAACUUAUUACCGUUUAUUGCAGGACAGGAAUACAUAUCAUAAGUCAAUCGCCCUGCGAGUAGCAGGCAAAUGGUUUGAUGAUGACACGAAAAGUCCUAAAAUAUUGAACUUUCUGAAGAGGCUAUAUUCAUGUAAAAUAAUAAUUUCAUGUAAAAUUAUUCGAUCAAUCCUCAAUGACAUGCUCAUGCAAAACAGUUGAAGAAACCCGAAACACUUAUUCCGAAACAUGAGCGUUUUGAAUAGUACCCUUUUUUGCUUUAAGUGUUUCGGGUGCCUGGGUGAAUAGAAUACAAAUUACAAGUAUAAGGCAACCACCCUUACCACCCAACCACCCUCUAAGUGCCGAAAACUCACAAAUGAUUCGGAUUCACUUAUUUUUUGGGUGUACCCUUGCCGUUACUGCUUAAGCGUUUUGGCAUAUUUUGAAUAUUUUUUUGAUGUAUUUAGGGUUAAUUUCUCCAACUUUAUAGUUGAAAAACCUAGUAUUAAUGUUAUCCAAUGUAAGUGUUAUGUACAUAUGUAUGUACCAGAGUGUGAUCGGCACCCUAAAAUAAGGGUGGGUGUCAUGCGCAGCUCUAUUCAAAUGUGCACUUGCCCAUCACUCUCUUGCACUGACACCCAACACACUUAUAGCAAAUGAAGGGAGUGUCUGAAACACCCAUGUUUCGGGAUGAGUGAUUCGGGUGUAAAUAAAAAAUGCCAAAUAUUUUAGGAUUUUCCGUGUCAAGCCAUCUACCUGCUAAUCGCAGUGCGAUUGACUUAAGAUUUGUAUUCUUAUACAAAUCUUGAAUAAACGGUAAUAAGUUGGUAGGUAGAUGUCUUGAUGACGACACGGAAAAUCCUAAAAUAUUGGCACAUGUUGCUUUGUAUAAGUGUAGUUUUUUUAUUAGUACCUGUGAUGCAAUGUUAGUCUUCUUUUGGGUUUUUUAAUACUUAGCCAUUGAAGACUAAUCACUUGUAAUGAUUAUAAGCUCUUAUUUUUUAAUAUUAGUUACUGAAGACGGCAAUAUCUUUUAUUCUUACAAAUAUACUAUUCUAAGAUUAAAAUUAAUUUAAACGGAAAACAAAAUAGUUUGACUUUUUUAAGGGGCUAUAUUUAUGUUAAAUUAUUGGUAUUUCCUUCCUUCCUUUCAUGUAAAAUUAUUCGGUCAACCCUCAGACACCCAAAAUACUCAGAUGAGUUGUAGACACCCGAAACAUUCCGAUCAGUUGAAGAACACCUGAAUCACUCAUACCGAAACAUGGAUGUUUCAGACACUCCCUUCUUAUGCUAUAAGUGUUUUGGGUGUCUGUUCAAUAGAAUCAUGUGCAUAGAAUAGAGUGGGUGACAAAAAGCAAAUACACAAAACACCCGGAGCGAUCUGUGCGUUCGGGUGUGUUGCUCUUUUCUUGCUGUUUGUGAGUGCGACAAACACUCAAAAUGUAAAAGUGUGAUUCGGGUGCCGAAAAAAGACACCCUUGACGUUCUCUGAAUCAUGGUGACGCUGGAUAACCGUUCACAAGACAAAACACAGGCAAAACGCGUGCACAACGCGAAACGGGACCCAAGCUGCACCUGGAUUCCUGUCUUUUCCUAUUCGAAUCUUUAGGGAAACAACGGAACUCAAUUCGAUACGACUAAUGAAAGGGCGGCUUACGUUUCACCAAGUAAUGUGCCGGAUUUGUGCCGUAGUCCAAUGUACCACGACUUGUACCUCAAAACAGUGCAGCUGGCGUUUGUCUACCAAACAAUGGAUUUGGAUUUAUAAUGUUGGAGGAAAUAACUAUAUGCCGCUGUUUACCAGCGCGUAGCAGCCACAAGCAGGACUCCAGCUCAUAUUGAUUCACAUCAGCAGGUUCAGGUUCAGAGCCAAACUUUAUAAAUGCCUUAAAGGACACGAACUGAUGUUCAUUGAUUGAUUGAGGCAAACAUAGCUAGGCAGCUGGCGGCGGAAAUGUGGUCACCUUUGUUAAUUGGUUAUUUCGCAAAGCUAUGUGUGCUACUAUGGUUGGAGAGAAAUGAACGGUAUUCAAAGACGGCAUCCAAAAAUAGUCUGUGCCCGUAUUUCUGCUAGGAGCCGCACAGAAAAUUAAUAUACGCUGAAGGGAGUACACACUAUUGAGGUGGUACAGCAUUUCAAUGAAUACAACAUUUUUAAUAGGACUGGAUAUGUUGGUGUCCUUGCUGGGAGUGCUUAUACGCUUAAGAGAUCGACCCUUCAUUAGAUU